This 497-nucleotide ribosomal RNA is filed under the name uncultured bacterium. RNAcentral describes it as "partial 16S ribosomal RNA". It matches the Rfam family "Bacterial small subunit ribosomal RNA", at positions 28 to 507 of the family's 1533-position model. The record is from RNAcentral.
GACGAACGCUGGCGGCGUGCCUAAUACAUGCAAGUAGAACGCUGAAGAGAGGAGCUUGCUCUUCUUGGAUGAGUUGCGAACGGGUGAGUAACGCGUAGGUAACCUGCCUUGUAGCGGGGGAUAACUAUUGGAAACGAUGGCUAAUACCGCAUAACAAUGGAUGACACAUGUCAUUUAUUUGAAAGGGGCAAUUGCUCCACUACAAGAUGGACCUGCGUUGUAUUAGCUAGUAGGUGAGGUAAUGGCUCACCUAGGCGACGAUACAUAGCCGACCUGAGAGGGUGAUCAGCCACACUGGGACUGAGACACGGCCCAGACUCCUACGGGAGGCAGCAGUAGGGAAUCUUCGGCAAUGGGGGCAAACCUGACCGAGCUACGCCGCGUGAGUGAAGAAGGUUUUCGGAUCGUAAAGCUCUGUUGUAAGCCAAGAACGGGUGUGAGAGUGGAAAGUUCACACUGUGACGGUAGCUUACCAGAAAGGGACGGCUAACUACGUG